AUCUCUGUAGAGUCUGCAUAUCAAUAAGCGGAGGAAAAGAAACUAACUAGGAUUCCCUCAGUAACGGCGAGUGAAGCGGGAAGAGCUCAAAUUUGAAAUCUUCAAGGUUCUACCUUGACGAAUUGUAGUUUAAAGAAGUGUUUUCUGUUGGAGUUUUGGUAAAAGUUCUUUGGAAUAGGACAUCAUAGAGGGUGAGAAUCCCGUAUUUGACCAUUAUUUCCAGCUUUGUGAUACACUUUCAAAGAGUCGGAUUGUUUGGGAAUGCAGUCCAAAAUGGGUGGUAAAUUUCAUCUAAAGCUAAAUAUUGGCGAGAGACCGAUAGCGAACAAGUACCGUGAGGGAAAGAUGAAAAGAACUUUGAAAAGAGAGUUAAACAGUACGUGAAAUUGUCAAAAGGGAAGCGUUUGACACCAGUGUUGUUUUCUCGAAAAUCAAUUAAAAAAUGGCAUGAUUUUGUGUUGUAUUGACUUUAUCAGCUUUCUGCACUCUUUUCUUGUCUUUUUUAAUGCACUUUUCGUUUAACAAGUCAACAUCAAUUUCUUUUGUUGUAAAAGGGUCAUUGGAAGGUGGCUUUCUUUUCGGAGAAAGUGUUUAUAACCUUUGGCCUCUGCAAUCGGAGAGAUUGAGGUCUGCAGCGUAGAUCCUUCGGGGUUAGAUACAUUUGUGCUAAGUUAUAGCCUUUCAUAGACGACUUGUUGACUAUGAUCAGUCAUGUAGCUUACUCGCUUAUGCUACUUUACCUACGCUUAGGAUGUUGAAGUCAUCGUAUCGCGC
Molecule: ribosomal RNA, 774 nt
Filed under: uncultured Neocallimastigales
Lineage: Eukaryota; Fungi; Neocallimastigomycota; Neocallimastigomycetes; Neocallimastigales
Description: partial large subunit ribosomal RNA
Rfam family: Eukaryotic large subunit ribosomal RNA
Source: RNAcentral